UGGUGAGUAACACGUAAGAAAUCUGCCUAUCAGAGGGGAAUAACAGUGAGAAAUCAUUGCUAAUACCGCAUAUGCCAUAGUUAUCGCAUGAUAAUAGUGGGAAAGGAGCAAUCCGCUGAUAGAUGAGCUUGCGUCUGAUUAGCUAGUUGGUGGGGUAACGGCCUACCAAGGCGACGAUCAGUAGCCGGACUGAGAGGUUGAACGGCCACAUUGGGACUGAGAUACGGCCCAGACUCCUACGGGAGGCAGCAGUCGGGAAUAUUGCGCAAUGGAGGAAACUCUGACGCAGUGACGCCGCGUAUAGGAAGAAGGUUUUCGGAUUGUAAACUAUUGUCCACAGGGAAGAUAAAAGACUGUACCUGUGAAGAAAGCUCCGGCUAACUACGUGCCAGCAGCCGCGGUAAUACGUAGGGAGCAAGCGUUAUCCGGAAUUAUUGGGUGUAAAGGGUGCGUAGACGGGAUAACAAGUUGGUUGUGAAACCCCUCGGCUCAACUGAGGAACUGCAACCAAAACUAUUAUUCUUGAGUGCAGGAGAGGAAAGUGGAAUUCCUAGUGUAGCGGUGAAAUGCGUAGAUAUUAGGAAGAACACCGGUGGCGAAGGCGACUUUCUGGACUGUAACUGACGUUGAGGCACGAAAGUGUGGGGAGCAAACAGGAUUAGAUACCCUGGUAGUCCACACUGUAAACGAU
Molecule: ribosomal RNA, 691 nt
Filed under: uncultured bacterium
Lineage: Bacteria
Description: bacterial SSU rRNA
Rfam family: Bacterial small subunit ribosomal RNA
Source: RNAcentral